GGGACAGUGGCGCAACGGAUAACGCGCCUGACUACGGAUCAGGAGAUUCCCUGUUGGCCCGAAUCAUGGCUGGCUCG
This is a non-coding RNA of Caerostris extrusa, 77 nucleotides long. NCBI's taxonomy places the organism in Eukaryota, Metazoa, Arthropoda, Arachnida, Araneae, Araneidae. The record is from the annotation of a GenBank genome assembly.